Molecule: ribosomal RNA, 556 nt
Filed under: uncultured Ascomycota
Lineage: Eukaryota; Fungi; Ascomycota
Description: SSU rRNA
Rfam family: Eukaryotic small subunit ribosomal RNA
Source: RNAcentral
GGAAGGGGUGUAUUUAUUAGAUAAAAAACCAAUGCCCUUCGGGGCUCCUUGGUGAUUCAUGAUAACUUAACGAAUCGCAUGGCCUUGUGCCGGCGAUGGUUCAUUCAAAUUUCUGCCCUAUCAACUUUCGAUGGUAGGAUAGUGGCCUACCAUGGUUUCAACGGGUAACGGGGAAUUAGGGUUCUAUUCCGGAGAGGGAGCCUGAGAAACGGCUACCACAUCCAAGGAAGGCAGCAGGCGCGCAAAUUACCCAAUCCCGACACGGGGAGGUAGUGACAAUAAAUACUGAUACAGGGCCCUUUCGGGUCUUGUAAUUGGAAUGAGUACAAUUUAAAUCCAUUAACGAGGAACAAUUGGAGGGCAAGUCUGGUGCCAGCAGCCGCGGUAAUUCCAGCUCCAAUAGCGUAUAUUAAAGUUGUUGCAGUUAAAAAGCUCGUAGUUGAACCUUGGGUCUGGGUGACCGGUCCGCCUCACCGCGUGCACUGGGAGCCCGGACCUUUCCUUCUGGCAAACCUCAUGCCCUUUACUGGGUGUGUUGGGGAACCAGGACUUUUAC